ACGGGAGGCAGCAGCUAAGAAUAUUCCGCAAUGGACGAAAGUCUGACGGAGCGACGCCGCGUGGAUGAUGAAGGUCGAAAGAUUGUAAAAUCCUUUUAGGAGUGAAGAAUAAGCGGUGCAGGGAAUGGCAUCACGGUGACGGUAGCUCCUGAAUAAGCAACGGCUAAUUACGUGCCAGCAGCCGCGGUAACACGUAAGUUGCGAGCGUUGUUCGGAAUUAUUGGGCGUAAAGGGCAUGUAGGCGGUUUUGCAAGCUUGAUGUGAAAGGCAGGAGCUUAACUCCUGGACUGCGUUGAGAACUGCAUGACUAGAGUCACUGAGGGGCAAUCAGAAUUCCAGGUGUAGGGGUGAAAUCUGUAGAUAUCUGGAAGAAUACCAAUGGCGAAGGCAGGUUACCAGCAGAUGACUGACGCUGAGGUGCGAAGGUGCGGGGAGCAAACAGGAUUAGAUACCCUGGUA
This 459-nucleotide ribosomal RNA is filed under the name uncultured Treponema sp. Its description in RNAcentral is "partial 16S ribosomal RNA". It matches the Rfam family "Bacterial small subunit ribosomal RNA", at positions 341 to 792 of the family's 1533-position model. Lineage: Bacteria; Pseudomonadati; Spirochaetota; Spirochaetia; Treponematales; Treponemataceae. The record is from RNAcentral.